UCCGUAGGCGGUGUAGCAAGUCGGAAGUGAAAUCUCUGGGCUUAACCCAGAGGCUGCUUCCGAAACUGCUAUGCUAGAGUGCGAGAGAGGCGAGUGGAAUUGCGGGUGUAGCGGUGAAAUGCGUAGAUAUCCGCAGGAACAUCCGAGGCGAAAGCGGCUCGCUGGAUCGCAACUGACGCUGAGGGACGAAAGCUAGGGGAGCAAACAGGAUUAGAUACCCUGGUAGUCCUAGCCCUAAACCAUCAGGACUUGGGGUUUGCCCUGUACGGGGCAAGUCCCGUAGCUAACGCGUUAAGUCCUGCGCCUGGGGAGUACGGUCGCAAGGCUGAA
RNAcentral lists this ribosomal RNA (330 nucleotides) under uncultured bacterium. RNAcentral describes it as "bacterial SSU rRNA". It matches the Rfam family "Bacterial small subunit ribosomal RNA", at positions 568 to 898 of the family's 1533-position model. The record is from RNAcentral.